Molecule: ribosomal RNA, 694 nt
Filed under: uncultured bacterium
Lineage: Bacteria
Description: bacterial SSU rRNA
Rfam family: Bacterial small subunit ribosomal RNA
Source: RNAcentral
AACGCUAGCUACAGGCUUAACACAUGCAAGUCGAGGGGCAGCAUGGUCUUAGCUUGCUAAGGCCGAUGGCGACCGGCGCACGGGUGAGUAACACGUAUCCAACCUGCCGUCUACUCUUGGACAGCCUUCUGAAAGGAAGAUUAAUACAAGAUGGCAUCAUGAGUCCGCAUGUUCACAUGAUUAAAGGUAUUCCGGUAGACGAUGGGGAUGCGUUCCAUUAGAUAGUAGGCGGGGUAACGGCCCACCUAGUCUUCGAUGGAUAGGGGUUCUGAGAGGAAGGUCCCCCACAUUGGAACUGAGACACGGUCCAAACUCCUACGGGAGGCAGCAGUGAGGAAUAUUGGUCAAUGGACGAGAGUCUGAACCAGCCAAGUAGCGUGAAGGAUGACUGCCCUAUGGGUUGUAAACUUCUUUUAUAUGGGAAUAAAGUAUUCCACGUGUGGAAUUUUGUAUGUACCAUAUGAAUAAGGAUCGGCUAACUCCGUGCCAGCAGCCGCGGUAAUACGGAGGAUCCGAGCGUUAUCCGGAUUUAUUGGGUUUAAAGGGAGCGUAGGUUGACAUAUAAGUCAGCUGUGAAAGUUUACGGCUCAACCGUGAAAUUGCAGUUGAUACUGUAUGUCUUGAGUGUACAAGAGGUGGGCGGAAUUCGUGGUGUAGCGGUGAAAUGCUUAGAUAUCACGAAGAACUCCGAUUG